AACCUCUCAAUCUGCCCCUUUCUUGCUUGAUUGCUCGAGAGGCCUGGCUUCAGAUUGGAUCAUGGCUGGAUGAUGCCGUUGCCUGCAAAGGCGACAGCUCGGCCGAAAUGCAGACAAGUGACGACCGCUCGUGUCGAUCGGCUUGAACUCGACGUUGUAAUUUCUCCCUCGUUGAGCUACGAUCUUCACGUUUUUGACGGUACACUUUGAAACACUCUCAUUUUGAGCAA
This 230-nucleotide unclassified non-coding RNA is filed under the name uncultured Geoglossomycetes. Its description in RNAcentral is "sequence contains ITS2". Lineage: Eukaryota; Fungi; Ascomycota; Geoglossomycetes. The record is from RNAcentral.